UCAAUAUAAAAAAUAAAAACCCUAAAUAUUUUACUCUUUAUGAUUUAGUGAUCUCUCAACUCAUACAGUAGUAGAAAAAUUAUUACAUCAAAUAUUCAUAUAAGAUGAUGCAAACUCACAAAACACAGAAGAUUCACAAUGACUUAUAUUAUAUUAUAUGUUUCACCUUAAAGAAAGUACAUACUAACCAAACAUAGAAAUGCAUUCCCGAAUGCAAAGUUCCUUCUUUAUCGGCUCAAGCGCAUACAGCAUCUCACAUUCCUUGAUGCACUGAUAAAGGGCAUUACGUGCAAUAUAAUAGGAUGGAGUCCAAGGUUGUUCACUAAUAUUGUUUUGAAACUCAGCAAUGGCGGAAUAAGUAACUACUUGAAUAAUCAAUGUUGCAAUUGCAAGUGCUACACCAUUCCUAGCCAUGGAUCUAUCUCUAUUUCUUUUUGUCAUGUAAUUAGAAGUUUGUCACAAAACAUGUUUUAUACAACCUUAGAGCCUUCCUUAAUAUUAUUGCAACAUAAUUCUCGGACGAGUUAUUAGAAUAUUUC
Molecule: long non-coding RNA, 539 nt
Filed under: Arachis ipaensis
Lineage: Eukaryota; Viridiplantae; Streptophyta; Magnoliopsida; Fabales; Fabaceae
Description: long non-coding RNA (AIPA_LNC000026)
Source: RNAcentral